GAAGUAUCUUGGUAUGUAAACCUCUUUUCUCAAGAAAGAAGUUCUGACGGUACUUGAGGAAUAAGCAUCGGCUAACUCCGUGCCAGCAGCCGCGGUAAUACGGAGGGAGCUAGCGUUGAUCGGAAUUACUGGGCGUAAAGCGCACGUAGGCGGUCUAUAAAGUUGGGGGUGAAAUCCCGGAGCUCAACUCCGGAACUGCCUCCAAAACUGCUAGACUCGAGUUCGGAAGAGGUAAGUAGAAUUCCCAGUGUAGAGGUGAAAUUCGUAGAUAUUGGGAAGAAUACCAGUGGCGAAGGCGGCUUACUGGUCCGAUACUGACGCUGAGGUGCGAAAGCGUGGGGAGCAAAC
RNAcentral lists this ribosomal RNA (348 nucleotides) under Isochrysis galbana. RNAcentral describes it as "partial Bacterial small subunit ribosomal RNA". It matches the Rfam family "Bacterial small subunit ribosomal RNA", at positions 410 to 773 of the family's 1533-position model. The record is from RNAcentral. Lineage: Eukaryota; Haptophyta; Isochrysidales; Isochrysidaceae.